Molecule: long non-coding RNA, 3698 nt
Organism: Neoarius graeffei (lesser salmon catfish)
Lineage: Eukaryota; Metazoa; Chordata; Actinopteri; Siluriformes; Ariidae
Exons: 3
Source: RefSeq, a predicted model, not a curated record
AAUCUCAACGAAAGCUUCACUGAAUCUUUAGAACAAACUCGCAUGCGUGUGAAUCAAUUUACUUGAUUCACUCUUGAUUCUUGACUCAGAAACUACGGAAACCUUAUUUGUAUUCCUGUUUUCAAAUUGUAAACAAUAAUCACACUUUCAUGCUGCAUGAAAUUAAAGUAUGAACUUUCCUCAAACCAUUACGUGUGCAUGAACUCAACAAAUGCCGUUGAUGCGUCUGUAUCGAUUCGCUCGAUCGAGUCAUUUAUGUUUCGUCCCGAAAAAGAUCCGAAUCGUUUGUGAAUCUCAUCACUGUUAGAAACCCAAGAGAAGAGAUCCUCUUCCCUUAACAUCAUCAGAGGAAAAAUCUGCUUCUUAAUCAAUUAGUUUCAGCGUUUGUCUCUUCUCGAGCAAGGCGUGGACUCUGUGGUCUGUGUGUUCUGGUGUCUGCUGAGUCACCAGAAAUCUGCCAAGACACUGACACUUGCGCCUGCUCCAACAUCUGGCGCAUAAGGGCUUUAAGGUUUCCAGAACCAAGCUGCAAUAUUGCAUGGACACUUAAGUAUUUGAACUUUUGAAGUUUUGAACUUUCUCAAGGCUGUCAUUCUAGACACAAAACCUCCUCCACUGCAACAUCCUUUGACCUGGACUGAUGCUAUGGUGGUCGCUUAUCACUCCCUCAGAAGCACCCUUUGUUCCGCCCCUGGGUCACCUGCUCACUUCAAGCCCUUCCACCUCUAUGCCUGUGGACACCGGGGCACGGCCUCUGGGGAACGGGGGGGGGGGGAAUGCAUCAUUGUGCGUUUUUAUCCAAAACAUUAAAACAUUAGACAUUGUUGCUCAAGGCUUACUUGCGUUUCUGGGGGCUGUCUCCGCAUGUGCUUUGAUGGUUGCAAAAUUGACAGACCCAUUAAAUUAAUUAACAAUCUCGAAAUUCGUGUCACAUCCUCUUUUGAUAAUGUAGGUCGCGCUCUCGCACGCCUCCUUAAUUCUCGGGAUGACACUUGGGAUGAUAUUGUCUGUCUAAAAAUCGUACAUACUACUAGUAUCAGGUCUGAUCUCUUCCCUCCAGCCCUCUAGGGAUCUUUAUUGGUGGUUUUUGUUCUAAACCCUCAGACGGUUCUUGUUUUAUAAUUUAUAAUAUUAUCACACCUCUGUGGUUAUUCUGUGUGUUCAAUUAAUAUCAGCCUGAUAUUCUGCAUGAGACAUACGCUCUUUCUUUCUUUCUCAUUUGAUUUUUGUCAUCUUGAUUGUGGACAGAUUCUCUAAAUGGGUAGAAGUUUUUCCCUGUUCUCGAGAGAACGCGAAGGUAGUUACUCGUUUUGAUACCUAGUUAUAAUAAUAAUAAUAAUAAUAAUAAUACAUUUUAUUUAUAAGUGCCUUUCAAGGUACCUAAGAACACUGGACAGUAAAAAAGAAAAACAAACAAUAAAAUAACAAUAAGAUAAUAAGAAAUCAAUAAUAAUUAUUGUUAUAGUUAUGGGGUUUCAAAAUGCCAUAGAUUCCGACAAAGGUACCCCUUUCACCUCAAAAGUCACACAAAACCUUUGUAAGUAUCUCUAAGCUAAACUGGUGUUUUCACAUUCCUCAAUCCUGUGGUAUCGUAGAACGUACUAAUCGAACAUUGAAAGACAAAUUAAUUAAGGUCAUGCAGGACACAGGUUUGCUUCUGUAAUCCAUAAUUCAUUCUGGCUGAAAUUCGCAUGACACCAAGAAAUUAUUUUUGGAAGACUCUCCCCUGGAAGAAGGGAACUCCGGCUCCGGGUACCUCUGAUUUGAAAAUGCAUAUGGAUGAGUAUUCUGCAGCCCUUAUAGGUAAGUUGCAUAAAAUUUGUACCAAGGUCAAUAAUACAAUAUUAUCUCCACCACACACCCCUUUCACGUGGGAGACAAGUGCUGGUGUGACUUUUAAAGUAAUGAUUUGGACAAUUGGGAAAACAAUAUAAUGGGCCUGCAGACAUAGUCGCCAUUACUUUUGCUGCUGUUUUAACUGAUCUUUUUCCACAGUGGAUCCAUGCCACUCGAUUGAAGAAGGCUCCAUAACAAAGUUGUGUUACAAUAACAAGUUUGCUGCUAUUAAUGCUUUUUGUGUCCCUAUCUAGUCUCCCUCUGGCCAGUGUUCUCUCUCUGUCUCUCUCUCUCUAUUUCUGAGCUCUGCACAGAUUCGACUGAGAAUCCUCAAGACGUUGUGAACAAAGAGGGGAAGAGAUCUUGUGCCCCAUUUGGAACCAAUCAUCCUCACUACAACCAUGACAGUCCUCAUCACGGGUUUUGUGGCUUCAUUGUUGCUCGGGGCAGGGCUACCCGCCCGAGCCUUCGUGACUGCUUCAUCUUUGCUCGGGGCAGGGUUACCCGCCCGAGCCUUCUGGACCACUUCAUUGCUCGGAGCAGGAUUACCCGCUCGAGCUGGACUUCAUUGCUUGGAGCAGGGUUACCCGCUCGAGCUGGACUUCUAGACAACAUCUUCUGGACUAACUUCGCUAACUGAACUGCACAAGCGCACACCACACGAAUGUGUUAUGUCUUUCAUCUGAUGCCAUUUUCUACUAUUAUUACACAUCUCUAUGCUCUGAAACUCUGUAUUCUUACAGGACUCUGUUCUCACUAUAGGUCGAUAUGUCUUCUAAUUUCAUUUUUCCCCUCACUGUUUUAGAACAAAUUACUCUGAAGGAAGUAGGGUGUAUCUGGGAAUUAAGAGGUUUUGAGUUUCUCUAAGCUCUGGUGAGGUGGGACGAGGGCUGAUUGGGCAUGCCCGCCCUCUGAGCACCAAUAUACGUCAAGAAGGGCAAAGAUUAACUCAGGAUUAAUUCUCGAUGUAAUCACAUAUAUGAUCAUGAGGAUGCUAGGAUUUGAUAAUAGUGAUACUAUUAUCAAAGGGGGGGAUUGUUAGGUCAAAUUUUAUUAUACGUAGGUUAUGAUCAGAAUAUGAAUCAGAAUCAGUAGGUUAAAUCAAGAUAUAUGUAGACAUAUGUAAGUUUAGUUAAGAAUUCAGUGAAUUAUAUUAGUUGAAACGACCUUAGGUCCGGCUGGACAUUGUUUGGGAACAUUUUGUUUAUGAAAUGUGUAUUUUGAACAGAGAAGUGUCUGAAGGACCCACCAAGGUCUGUUUUAGUGUCAGAUCGACCCACACACACACUUUAAUGUUGGAUGUAAUGGUAGCCUUUUUGCUGAACAAAGAGUUAAGACUCUUAUAUUAUAUAUUAUAGUGUAUAUUUUAGAGCUUUUUAAGAUCCUUUAUUAUUUUGGACUAUUGCAUAUACUAUGGCAGUGAUUUUAAACUGUUCCUGUGUAGCCUGACCUUCGUCCAGUGGAGAAGAACACUUCUUUGUUAGACCAAACAUAGUCUUUGUUUAAAACAUUGUCGUAAAAACAUCUCACGCGCUUUGACGUACGUAAAUGAAAUUGCUGAAUUGCUGAAAUAUUAUUUUGCUUAUUAUUGAAGGUUUCAUUCACACACACAUACAUAUGGAAUUAAGAUGUGAUUUGCCGACCUAGCACAUAGACACAGAUAUCAAAAAGAUGUCACUCACUCACACCCUCCCAUAGACAGACACACACACACACACCCCUCUCUGAGGUCACAUACAAACACACACACACAUUUGACAGACACAAUAGCCGUUUGGAGAGAUUAUGAUUUGUUAUAAAAGGUGUUUGUAAUCUUUCAUCUUUGACGAAGUGACUGUGCGAAUAAACUGGCAUGUGAACAA